Molecule: ribosomal RNA, 305 nt
Filed under: uncultured bacterium
Lineage: Bacteria
Description: bacterial SSU rRNA
Rfam family: Bacterial small subunit ribosomal RNA
Source: RNAcentral
ACCUACGGGGGGCAGCAGUGAGGAAUAUUGGUCAAUGGGCGGAAGCCUGAACCAGCCAAGUCGCGUGAGGGAAUAAGGCCCUACGGGUCGUAAACCUCUUUUGUCGGGGAACAAAGGGCGCCACGUGUGGCGUUGUGAGUGUACCCGAAGAAAAAGCAUCGGCUAACUCCGUGCCAGCAGCCGCGGUAAUACGGAGGAUGCGAGCGUUAUCCGGAUUUAUUGGGUUUAAAGGGUGCGUAGGCGGUCCGGAAAGUCAGCGGUAAAAGCCCGGGGCUCAACCCCGGCGAGCCGUUGAAACUGUCGGG